This is a long non-coding RNA of Lynx canadensis (Canada lynx), 1268 nucleotides long. RefSeq lists it as uncharacterized. The transcript is spliced from 2 exons. NCBI's taxonomy places the organism in Eukaryota, Metazoa, Chordata, Mammalia, Carnivora, Felidae. The record is from RefSeq and is a predicted model, not a curated record.
UUGAAAAAAAAAAAAGUAUUAAAAAGAGCAAAGAACCGCAAUCCUACUUUGUGCCACAAAAGGGAAAAUCCAGACACAUUGGCGAAUGAGAGCGAGGGCUACCGUGUGAAUCGACGUUGGUGCCUGGAAGAAGGGCACUGCCAUAUAGACACUUAAAAUACGUCGUACAGAACAAGUCAUUGGGCAGCAGGCCGGUCAGCGGGACAGCCCUUCUGUACCCUGGUAACAUAUUUAGUAAAUCCGUCCCCAGUGGGACGUAGAAGGUAGACCAGGAGCCCAGUGAGACUCUAACUCAAUGGGAAGUAGAUGGAGGCAGUGAUGCGUGUUAGAUACUGUUAUCUGCCUUUAGCAAGAUACCGUAAGUGACAGCUCAGAGGAGAACUGCUUGGUUUUCUAGAAGACAUAGAAAGGUAUUAAGGAAUUCUGAUCCAGGUCCUUUUAGGGUUAGAAAAGCGGACUGUCCCUAGACCCUCAGGAACAAGACUGGAAAGUGUUAAGUGACAAAGUUACUAAAAGAUCUCUGAUUUCAAAAAAGAAAUGACACAAUUUUUCCGCAAAGAUGAGAUUAAGGGUUCUAAGCUUAGUGUUUCAGAGAGCAGUCAGAUAGUCCUUAGUCGAGAGAGAGGGGCACACACGUGAGGAGGCAAAAAGAUACAUCAUCCUUGAGAGUUUUAUACAGGAAGGAACUCGAGUGCGGAAUUUACAAUACGGGAACCAGAAGCACGUAUAGCAAAAAGGUCACCUUUUAAAGGUAAUGGUUAUUGUUAAGGAAACCAUGGGCAUGGAUAAAAAGAAGACUUUGAUCCUUAAAACAAGCAAUCCCUCCGAGUGUCCCUGCAGGAAGCCCAGAUAACUUAUCUUUCUGGUUUACAGGUUGCCGCUGGACCAUAAGGAGCCAUGUUUCAACCGGAUACAAAAGACCGUGUAUCGCGUGGAGAUCUUAGAUCCUUUUCUCUAGUCAGGGCCUGCCCCAGAUGUGUUUCCAUUGACUCUUAGCCCCAUUCCAGGCAAGAUCAUUCAACACACAAGAGUGACUUUCCCUCGUUUCAGGGAGCAAGUUUCUUACUGGUGUAAAAUCGCAAAUUCCGUAUUUUUUAGAUGUCUUUAGGGACUAUGGGUGCCAAGCAACCAGCGGUGACGUCAGAGGGCUAUUUUAUCACAGAAGCUAUCCAAAAAAAGAAGGAGACAGUCCUGGCUUCCUUGCGCUUUAUGCAACAAUCAUUUCACAUCGAUAAAAAUGGAAACAGGAAAUAAAAGACUCUAAUAGC